RNAcentral lists this ribosomal RNA (465 nucleotides) under Vreelandella stevensii. Its description in RNAcentral is "partial 16S ribosomal RNA". It matches the Rfam family "Bacterial small subunit ribosomal RNA", at positions 338 to 795 of the family's 1533-position model. Lineage: Bacteria; Pseudomonadati; Pseudomonadota; Gammaproteobacteria; Oceanospirillales; Halomonadaceae. The record is from RNAcentral.
CCUACGGAAGGCUGCAGUGGGGAAUAUUGGACAAUGGGCGAAAGCCUGAUCCAGCCAUGCCGCGUGUGUGAAGAAGGCCUUCGGGUUGUAAAGCACUUUCAGUGGGGAAGAAAGCCUUGGGGCUAAUACCCUCGAGGAAGGACAUCACCCACAGAAGAAGCACCGGCUAACUCCGUGCCAGCAGCCGCGGUAAUACGGAGGGUGCGAGCGUUAAUCGGAAUUACUGGGCGUAAAGCGCGCGUAGGCGGUCUGAUAAGCCGGUUGUGAAAGCCCCGGGCUCAACCUGGGAACGGCAUCCGGAACUGUCAGGCUAGAGUGCAGGAGAGGAAGGUAGAAUUCCCGGUGUAGCGGUGAAAUGCGUAGAGAUCGGGAGGAAUACCAGUGGCGAAGGCGGCCUUCUGGACUGACACUGACGCUGAGGUGCGAAAGCGUGGGUAGCAAACAGGAUUAGAUACCCUAGUAGUC